Small nucleolar RNA from Octodon degus (degu), 130 nucleotides. NCBI's taxonomy places the organism in Eukaryota, Metazoa, Chordata, Mammalia, Rodentia, Octodontidae. The record is from Ensembl.
ACCUCCUACAAAGGCGUGUCUUGGUUCCUUGUCUUUGGACACGUAAGAAUUGGAGGCAGAAACAUUGUGGAUUUGGUGACAUCUGGGCCAGCCUGCUCCUUGCAGGCUCCAGAUCAACCAUCUCACAUAA